This 390-nucleotide ribosomal RNA is filed under the name uncultured bacterium. RNAcentral's name for it is "bacterial SSU rRNA". It matches the Rfam family "Bacterial small subunit ribosomal RNA", at positions 505 to 898 of the family's 1533-position model. The record is from RNAcentral.
GUGUCAGCCGCCGCGGUAAUACGGAAGGUCCGGGCGUUAUCCGGAUUUAUUGGGUUUAAAGGGAGCGUAGGCCGUCUGUUAAGCGUGUUGUGAAAUGUCGGGGCUCAACCUGGGCAUUGCAGCGCGAACUGGCAGACUUGAGUGCGCAGGAAGUAGGCGGAAUUCGUCGUGUGGCGGUGAAAUGCUUAGAUAUGACGAAGAACUCCGAUUGCGAAGGCAGCCUGCUGUAGCGUAACUGACGCUGCAGCUCGAAAGCGUGGGUAUCGAACAGGAUUAGAUACCCUGGUAGUCCACGCGGUAAACGAUGGAUGCUCGCUGUUUGCGUCUGACGUAAGCGGCCAAGCGAAAGCGUUAAGCAUCCCACCUGGGGAGUACGCCGGCAACGGUGAA